RNAcentral lists this ribosomal RNA (468 nucleotides) under uncultured bacterium. RNAcentral describes it as "partial 16S ribosomal RNA". It matches the Rfam family "Bacterial small subunit ribosomal RNA", at positions 28 to 507 of the family's 1533-position model. The record is from RNAcentral.
GACGAACGCUGGCGGCGUGCUUAACACAUGCAAGUCGAACGGAAAGGCCCUGCUUUUGUGGGGUGCUCGAGUGGCGAACGGGUGAGUAACACGUGAGUAACCUGCCCUUGACUUUGGGAUAACUUCAGGAAACUGGGGCUAAUACCGGAUAGGAGCUCCUGCUGCAUAGUGGGGGUUGGAAAGUUUCGGCGGUUGGGGAUGGACUCGCGGCUUAUCAGCUUGUUGGUGGGGUAGUGGCUUACCAAGGCUUUGACGGGUAGCCGGCCUGAGAGGGUGACCGGCCACAUUGGGACUGAGAUACGGCCCAGACUCCUACGGGAGGCAGCAGUGGGGAAUAUUGCACAAUGGGCGGAAGCCUGAUGCAGCAACGCCGCGUGCGGGAUGACGGCCUUCGGGUUGUAAACCGCUUUCGCCUGUGACGAAGCGUGAGUGACGGUAAUGGGUAAAGAAGCACCGGCUAACUACAUG